GAUGAAGAACGUAGCGAAAUGCGAUAAGUAAUGUGAAUUGCAGAAUUCAGUGAAUCAUCGAAUCUUUGAACGCACAUUGCGCCCCCUGGUAUUCCGGGGGGCAUGCCUGUCCGAGCGUCAUUGCUGCCCUCAAGCACGGCUUGUGUGUUGGGCCUCCGUCCUCCUCCCGGGGGACGGGCCCGAAAGGCAGCGGCGGCACCGCGUCCGGUCCUCGAGCGUAUGGGGCUUCGUCACCCGCUCUUGUAGGCCCGGCCGGCGCUUGCCGACACAUCAAUCUUUUUUCCAGGUUGACCUCGGAUCAGGUAGGGAUACCCGCUGAACUUAAGCAUAUCAAAGCGGAGGA
RNAcentral lists this unclassified non-coding RNA (343 nucleotides) under soil metagenome. RNAcentral's name for it is "partial contains 5.8S ribosomal RNA, internal transcribed spacer 2, and large subunit ribosomal RNA". The stretch from base 1 to 120 matches the Rfam family "5.8S ribosomal RNA", at positions 35 to 154 of the family's 154-position model. The record is from RNAcentral.